AUUGAACGCUGGCGGCAUGCUUUACACAUGCAAGUCGAACGGCAGCACGGGGGCAACCCUGGUGGCGAGUGGCGAACGGGUGAGGAAUACAUCGGAACGUGUCUAUAAGUGGGGGAUAACGCAUCGAAAGGUGUGCUAAUACCGCAUAAUCUCUCAGGAGAAAAGCAGGGGAUCGCAAGACCUUGCGCUUUAGGAGCGGCCGAUGCCUGAUUAGCUUGUUGGUAAGGUAAAAGCUUACCAAGGCUUCGAUCAGUAGCUGGUCUGAGAGGACGACCAGCCACACUGGGACUGAGACACGGCCCAGACUCCUACGGGAGGCAGCAGUGGGGAAUUUUGGACAAUGGGGGAAACCCUGAUCCAGCCAUGCCGCGUGAGUGAAGAAGGCCUUCGGGUUGUAAAGCUCUUUCAGCCGGAACGAAACGGUUACGAUUAAUACUCGUAAUUAAUGACGGUACCGGCAGAAGAAGCACCGGCUAACUACGUGCCAGCAGCCGCGGUAGUACGUAGGGUGCGAGCGUUAAUCGGAAUUACUGGGCGUAAAGCGCACGUAGGCGGAUUAGUAAGUUAGAGGUGAAAUCCCAGGGCUCAACCCUGGAACUGCCUUUAAUACUGCUAGUCUUGAGUUCGAGAGAGGUAAGUGGAAUUCCAAGUGUAGAGGUGAAAUUCGUAGAUAUUUGGAGGAACACCAGUGGCGAAGGCGGCUUACUGGCUCGAUACUGACGCUGAGGUGCGAAAGUGUGGGGAGCAAACAGGAUUAGAUACCCUGGUAGUCCACACCGUAAACGAUGAAUGCCAGACGUCAGCAAGUAUACUUGUUGGUGUCACACCUAACGGAUUAAGCAUUCCGCCUGGGGAGUACGGUCGCAAGAUUAAAACUCAAAGGAAUUGACGGGGGCCCGCACAAGCGGUGGAGCAUGUGGUUUAAUUCGACGCAACGCGCAGAACCUUACCAACCCUUGACAUCCUGUGCUACUACCAGAGAUGGUACGUUCCCUUCGGGGACGCAGUGACAGGUGCUGCAUGGCUGUCGUCAGCUCGUGUCGUGAGAUGUUCGGUUAAGUCCGGCAACGAGCGCAACCCACAUCUUUAGUUGCCAUCAGGUUAUGCUGGGCACUCUAGAGAAACUGCCCGUGAUAAGCGGGAGGAAGGUGUGGAUGACGUCAAGUCCUCAUGGCCCUUACGGGUUGGGCUACACACGUGCUACAAUGGCAGUGACAAUGGGUUAAUCCCCAAAAGCUGUCUCAGUUCGGAUUGGGGUCUGCAACUCGACCCCAUGAAGUCGGAAUCGCUAGUAAUCGCGUAACAGCAUGACGCGGUGAAUACGUUCCCGGGCCUUGUACACACCGCCCGUCACACCAUGGGAGUUGGUUCUACCCGACGACGCUGCGCUAACCCUUCGGGGGGGCAGGCGGCCACGGUAGGAUCAGCGACUGGGGUGAAGUCGUAACAAGGUAGCCGUAGGGGAACCU
This 1469-nucleotide ribosomal RNA is filed under the name uncultured marine bacterium. RNAcentral's name for it is "partial 16S ribosomal RNA". It matches the Rfam family "Bacterial small subunit ribosomal RNA". The record is from RNAcentral.